This 445-nucleotide ribosomal RNA is filed under the name uncultured bacterium. Its description in RNAcentral is "partial 16S ribosomal RNA". It matches the Rfam family "Bacterial small subunit ribosomal RNA", at positions 354 to 796 of the family's 1533-position model. The record is from RNAcentral.
GUGAGGAAUAUUGGUCAAUGGACGAGAGUCUGAACCAGCCAAGUCGCGUGAAGGAAGACGGUUCUAUGAAUUGUAAACUUCUUUUGUGCAGGAAUAAAGUGGGUUACGUGUAACCUUUUGUAUGUACUGUACGAAUAAGGAUCGGCUAACUCCGUGCCAGCAGCCGCGGUAAUACGGAGGAUUCGAGCGUUAUCCGGAUUUAUUGGGUUUAAAGGGUGCGUAGGUGGAUUGAUAAGUCAGCGGUGAAAGUUUGCAGCUUAACUGUAAAAUUGCCGUUGAAACUGUCGGUCUUGAGUGCAAAUGAGGUAGGCGGAAUGUGUUGUGUAGCGGUGAAAUGCUUAGAUAUAACACAGAACUCCGAUUGCGAAGGCAGCUUACUGGGAUGCAACUGACACUGAUGCACGAAAGCGUGGGUAUCAAACAGGAUUAGAUACCCGAGUAGUCC